Molecule: ribosomal RNA, 253 nt
Filed under: uncultured bacterium
Lineage: Bacteria
Description: partial 16S ribosomal RNA
Rfam family: Bacterial small subunit ribosomal RNA
Source: RNAcentral
UACGAAGGGGGCUAGCGUUGCUCGGAAUUACUGGGCGUAAAGGGAGCGUAGGCGGACUGUUAAGUUAGAGGUGAAAGCCCAGGGCUCAACCUUGGAAUUGCCUUUGAUACUGGCAGUCUUGAGUACGGAAGAGGUAUGUGGAACUCCGAGUGUAGAGGUGAAAUUCGUAGAUAUUCGGAAGAACACCAGUGGCGAAGGCGACAUACUGGUCCGUUACUGACGCUGAGGUGCGAAAGCGUGGGGAGCAAACAGG